CUUCAGUGUCAAUACCAAGGGUGUUCCACAACGAAGCUUAACAAACUUAAUUACUGCUUCUCAGAGAUCCAGGAAAAACUUAGAAGCAAAAUAUUGUACUGUGAGAACAGAUGAUGGAAUCGUGUUUGAGGACAAGAUCUGUGAUCAUCCAAAUGAAGAUGUGCUUGAAUCCUUUCCUACAACAUCAGCCAAAGUUCAGGGCUUUUCACAUCCUUCCUUUCCAUCACCUGAUGCUCCUCUGAAACCUUCCUUUCUGUCAUUGGAGAA
Molecule: long non-coding RNA, 267 nt
Organism: Lemur catta (Ring-tailed lemur)
Lineage: Eukaryota; Metazoa; Chordata; Mammalia; Primates; Lemuridae
Exons: 3
Source: RefSeq, a predicted model, not a curated record